AGGGCGGACGGUGGAUACCUAGGCUCGAGGAGGCGAAGAAGGACGUGAUAAGCUGCGAUAAGCCGCGGGUAGGCGCAAAUGGCCAUUGAUCCGCGGAUUUCCGAAUGGGGCAACCCGGCAGGCUGAAGGCCUGCCACCUUACCUGGUAAGGGGCGAACGUGGGGAACUGAAACAUCUAAGUACCCAUAGGAGGAGAAAACAAUUGUGAUUCCCCAAGUAGUGGCGAGCGAACGGGGAGGAGCCCAAACCGCGGGCGUUCAGGCGCCGGCGGGGUUGUAGGGCCCGCAUGAUCGAGCAUGCCAGUAUCGGAAAGGCUUGGAACGGCCUGCCGAAGAGGGUGAAAGCCCCGUACGAGCGGAAGGCAUGCAAGAGGCGGGUACCCUGAGUAGCGCAGGGCACGAGAAAUCCGGCGUGAAACCGGCGGGACCAUCCGCCAAGGCUAAAUACUCCCUCGAGACCGAUAGCGAACCAGUACCGUGAGGGAAAGGUGAAAAGUACCCCGAACAGGGGGGUGAAAAAGAACUUGAAACCGUCCGCCUACAAGCGGUCGGAGCCCUUAGGGGUGACGGCGUGCCUUUUGCAUAAUGAUCCUACGAGUCAUCGUCGCCGGCAAGGUUAAGGCCCAUUAGGGCCGGAGCCGAAGCGAAAGCGAGUCCGAAGAGGGCGGCUAGUCGGCGGGGAUGGACGCGAAACCAAGUGAUCUACCCUUGGCCAGGCUGAAGGUCCGGUAACGCGGACUGGAGGGCCGAACCGGUAAGCGUUGAAAAGCUUUCGGAUGAGCUGAGGGUAGGAGCGAAAGACCAAUCAAACUUGGAGAUAGCUCGUACUCCCCGAAAUGCAUUUAGGUGCAGCGUCGGGACAGUCUGCGCGAGGUAGAGCGACCGAUUGGAUGAGAGGGCUUCACCGCCUAUCAAGUCCUGACGAACUCCGAAUGCGCGCAGAUGUUUCCCGGCAGUGAGGGCGCGGGUGCUAAGGUCCGCGCCCGAGAGGAGAAGAAUCCAGACCACCGGCUAAGGCCCCGAAGUGGAGGCUAAGUUGGUCUAACGAAGUCUGGCCGCAGCGACAGCUGGGAUGUUGGCUUGGAAGCAGCCAUUCAUUCAAAGAGUGCGUAACAGCUCACCAGUCGAGCGGCCGGGCAUGGAUAAUAAUCGGGCAUAAGCCGCCCGCCGAAGCCGUGGAUUUUAUGGUAGGGGAGCAUUCCGUGCGCGGCGAAUGGGAGACGCGAGUCGCCCUGGAGCGCACGGAAAGGCAAAUGUAGGAAUGAGUAACGAUAAGGGGGGUGCGAUCCCCCCCCGCCGCAAGACCAAGGAUUCCUGAUCAACGCUAAUCGGAUCAGGGUAAGUCGGGACCUAAGGAUAAGCCGAAAGGCGAGGCCGAUGGCAGAUCCGGUCAAGAUUCCGGAACUGCCGCGCGGAUCGACGCGGGGACGGAGGAGCGUAAGCCACGCCGGCUGACGGAAUAGCCGGUUGAAGGGCGUAGGCGUUGAGGGGCGCAGUCAAGCACGCGCCCCGAGCUGAGACCCGAUAGUACGUUGACCGCCUCGGCGGGAGACGUUAGCUGGCCCAAGCCGACUCCCAAGAAAAACCGCUAAGAACAUGCGCGCGGCACCCGUACCGAAACCGACACAGGUGGUCCGGUAGAAUAUACCAAGGCGCUCGGGAGACUCGCGGUUAAGGAACUAGGCAAAAUAGCCCCGUAACUUCGGGAAAAGGGGCGCUCCCUGCAAGGGGAGCCGCAGAGAAAUGGCUCAGGCGACUGUUUAACAAAAACACAGGGCUAUGCGAAAUCGCAAGAUGAAGUAUAUGGCCUGACACCUGCCCGGUGCUGGAAGGUUAAGAGGAGGGGUCACGCAAGGAAGCCCUGAAUUGAAGCCCCAGUAAACGGCGGCCGUAACUAUAACGGUCCUAAGGUAGCGAAAUUCCUUGUCGGGUAAGUUCCGACCUGCACGAAUGGUGUAACGAUCCGAGCACUGUCUCAACCGCGAGCCCGGUGAAAUUGUAGUAUCGGUGAAGAUGCCGAUUACCCGCAACGGGACGAAAAGACCCCGUGAACCUUUACUGCAGCUUAGCGUUGAGUCUGGGCAAACGAUGUGUAGGAUAGGCCGGAGGCUGUGAUCCGCGCGCGCCAGCGUGUGGUUAGCCGACGUUGAAAUACGGCCCUUCGUUUGUCUGGACCCUAACCCCUGAAGGGGGGACACCGCUUGGUGGGUAGUUUGACUGGGGUGGUCGCCUCCAAAAGCGUAACGGAGGCUUCCAAAGGUGCCCUCGGGACGAUUGGUAACCGUCCUGUGAGUGUAAUGGCGAAAGGGCGCUUGACUGGGAGGCAGACAAGCCGAUCAGGUGGGAAACCAGGGCAUAGUGAUCCGGCGGUUCCGCAUGGAAGGGCCGUCGCUCAAAGGAUAAAAGGUACUCCGGGGAUAACAGGCUGAUCACUCCCAAGAGCUCACAUCGACGGAGUGGUUUGGCACCUCGAUGUCGGCUCGUCACAUCCUGGGGCUGGAGAAGGUCCCAAGGGUUCGGCUGUUCGCCGAUUAAAGUGGCACGCGAGCUGGGUUCAGAACGUCGUGAGACAGUUCGGUCUCUAUCUGUUGCGGGCGUUGGAGAUUUGCGUGGGUCUGGCACUAGUACGAGAGGACCGUGCUGGACCGGCCGCUGGUGUACCGGUUGUUCCGCCAGGAGCACUGCCGGGUAGCUAAGCCGGGUCAUGGAUAAGCGCUGAAAGCAUCUAAGCGCGAAGCCGUCCACAAGAUUAGAUCUCCUUUGA
This 2763-nucleotide ribosomal RNA is filed under the name activated sludge metagenome. RNAcentral's name for it is "bacterial LSU rRNA". It matches the Rfam family "Bacterial large subunit ribosomal RNA". The record is from RNAcentral.